UCUAAGAAACUGAAAGUAGUCCUGUUUUUUUUUUUUUUAGAUGAAAAGUAAAUGUGUGAGUCAUUUGGCUGGUAAUAAGACGGAGGUUUUAAGUCCUGGAAGGCUGACAGAAAGAUUGACCUCUAAAAAUGGUAGAAUUGUGGUGGAAACUUCGAGCGUAAAUUUGAUUUGGUGUAGAGUGGGAGGUUCAAGUUCAGAAGGACACCCUGAAACUAAAGUAGUUGCAGGAGAUUCAGAAGGAGACCCUGAAGCUAAAGUAGUUGCAGGAAGUUCAGAAGGAGACUCUGAAACUAAAGUCGUUGCAGGAAGUUCAAAAGGAGACCCUGAAACUAAAGUUGUUGCAGGAAGUUCAGAAGGAGACCCUGAAACUGAAGUCAUUGCAGGAGGUUCAGAAGGAGACCCUGAAACUAAAGUAGCUGCAGGAGGUUCAGAAGGAGACCCAGAAACUGAAGUAGCUGCAGGAGGUUCAGAAGGAGACCCUGAAAC
Erpetoichthys calabaricus (reedfish) is the source of this 486-nucleotide long non-coding RNA. RefSeq lists it as uncharacterized. The transcript has 3 exons. NCBI's taxonomy places the organism in Eukaryota, Metazoa, Chordata, Cladistia, Polypteriformes, Polypteridae. The record is from RefSeq and is a predicted model, not a curated record.